Molecule: long non-coding RNA, 2208 nt
Organism: Brassica napus (rape)
Lineage: Eukaryota; Viridiplantae; Streptophyta; Magnoliopsida; Brassicales; Brassicaceae
Exons: 2
Source: RefSeq, a predicted model, not a curated record
AGCAGAUCCUUACUUUCGGAGCAGAUGAGAUUAGAGGUAGGGAUGUUAAAUCCAAGGCCAAGGCCUAACCCUCUUUUGUUUAAUAUAAACUCAAUUUUAUUUUAAUCCAGCCAUAUUUUAACCUUAUUUUAAUCAAGGAUUAUGGCUCGUGCAUGGAUUAGCCCAAUUUUAUGGAAAAAGUCUAAUUUGUUCAUUUUUACCUUCGAGUUCUAAGCAUGAAAGUUAAAAAAAAAAAACUAAGAAGUAAUAUGAUCAUCACUCAUUGCUCUCCUCCAACUUGUUGAUCAACAAAAUCAAUUUUUUUUUGCCAAAGCACAAAAUUAAGGUUUUCCUCGCCAAAUCAAAUUUUCUCGCAAAAACCAAAAAUCAAUUUUUUUCGCCAAAACCGUAAAAUUGAGUUUAUCGUCAAAAUUGCAAAAACAGAAAAAUCAAAUUUUCUGUAAAAACCAAAAAUCGAGUUUUCCACAAAAAAAUGAAUUUUCCCGCUAAAAAUGCAAAAUCGAGUUAUUCCCCCAAGAUCGAAAAAUCAAGGUUUUCCGAAAAAAAUCGCAAAAUCAAGUUUUCCCGCAAAAACCAAAAGUCAAGUUUUCCGCAAAUAAAAAACAAAAAUUAAGUUUUUCCGCCAAAAUUGCAAAAUCAAGUUUUUCCGCCAAACCGAAAAUUCAAGUUUUCUAAACAAAAUCGCAAAAUCAAUUUUUUCCACCAAAACUGAGAUAUCGAGGGUUUCGAUAAAACCACAAUAUAGAGUUUUCCACCAAAACCCCAAAAUAGAGUUUUUCCGCCAAAAUGAAAACGAGUUUCUCCACCAAAACCGGAAAAUCAAAAUUUUCCAUCAAAACCGUAAAAUUGAGUUUCUCCUCAAAAUCGCAAAAAUCAAGUUUUCUUGCAAAAACAGAAAAUUAAGUUUUCUGUAAAAACCAAAAAGUCGAGUUUUCCCGUAAAAACUUAAAAUUGAGCUUUCUCGCUAAAACUGCAAAAUUGAGUUUUUUCGCCAAAAUUGUAAAUUCAAGUUUUCUCGUAAAAACCGCAAAAUCUAUUUUUUCCACAAAAAUAAAAAAAAAAUCAAGUUUUUCCGCCAAAACCUCAAAAUCGAGUUUAUCCGGAAAAUCGUAAAAUAGAAUUUCCCCACAAAAAUCACAAAAUUGAAGAUAUGAACAAUUCAAUUAAAUUGGACCCUUAAUAGUAAAGUAAAAAUGUGUAAAAAAAUUGGAUCCUAUGCAUUUGCACCUUUGGCACAUGCAUAAGGCCGGCACUGCAUGCAAUACAUUAUUAUACAAAGACUUCCCAAACCAAAACCGAAUAAAAAAAUUACAAAUGUGUCCGGUAAGAAGUUCUUAGAGCAGCAUUAACGCGGUUCCUUAUGGUGGGUUUUUAAUGUUUUUAGGAUUUUUUUUAAAAAAAGAAAAUUAUGUAAUUAGAGAAGGAACGUCUCUUAAUUAAGCUCCACAAGACACAGUUCUUAUUAGACACGUGUUGGACAUUCAGCGUCUCUUUCUCUCUCUCUCGACGGAUUGAUUCCGUUUUCAGGGUUCACCAAAUCGUCGUCGCUGCUACACUCAUCUCUGUCGAUGGCUCGAUUCGUUAUAACCCAGGCAGAAUCGCCCCAUCGGAUCUGAUGUUUCUUUGAUCCAGCUUCUUCCCACCCGUAACCCUUAAAAACAAACUCUUCGAAUCCUCUGAACUCUUCACAGAUUCUGAAAACCCUUUUUCUUUUAUAAACAAAAGGAGAGAGUUUUGUUGGUGUGAUGGAUGAAUCAAAUGAGAUCAUCUUGCAGAAAUCAAAGAGAUUGACAUCUGUUGUGUGGAACUACUUUGAACGGGUGAGAAAGGUUGAUGCCUGCUACGCUGUUUGCAUUCAGUCAACAAGAAACUCAGCGGUUCCAGCAACAGCGGGACGACUCAUCUCCGGAACCAUCUCAUGCGUUGUCUCAGAAGAACCAACCACGACAGUGGGUAUAUGAGUACAUGAAUCUCUUUGAUUUUGAUAUGCUCCCAAUAAUAAAUUCAAUUGCAAUUUUUUUUUUGUUGGCUGGGUUCUUAGCUUUCAGGCUUUGUAAAUAACUACUUAUUGAUGCAUAAUUACGAGCAUGGACAGUCUCACAUAUACAAGACACUUUCAGAAAUGCAUGUUAGUUGAAUCGUGGUGUUUCUUGUUUGUAACGAAAGUGUAUUCAUAAACUUGUAUAAAUAAAAGUGUAUUCACAAGCA